This 340-nucleotide non-coding RNA is filed under the name Chloroflexi bacterium RBG_16_51_9. RNAcentral describes it as "bacterial LSU rRNA". It matches the Rfam family "Bacterial large subunit ribosomal RNA", at positions 2592 to 2925 of the family's 2925-position model. Lineage: Bacteria; Bacillati; Chloroflexota. The record is from RNAcentral.
AGCGGCACGCGAGCUGGGUUCAGACCGUCGUGAGACAGGUCGGUCUCUAUCCGUCGUGGGCGUCCGGAGAUUUGAGGGGAGCUCUCUCUAGUACGAGAGGACUGAGAGGGACAGACCGCUGGUGUUCCAGUUGUCCCGCCAGGGGCAUUGCUGGGUAGCUAUGUCUGGUUCGGAUAAGCGCUGAAAGCAUCUAAGUGCGAAGCCGGCCUCAAGAUUAUAUCUCCCAUCCCUGAUUCGUCAGGGAGUAAGACCGCAAAUAGACUAUUUGCUUAAUAGGCCGCAGGUGUAAGCGCAGUAAUGCGUUCAGCUGAGCGGUACUAAUGGUCGAGGGCUUGACCUG